This 2495-nucleotide long non-coding RNA is filed under the name Theobroma cacao (cacao). RNAcentral describes it as "long non-coding RNA (TCAC_LNC000131)". Lineage: Eukaryota; Viridiplantae; Streptophyta; Magnoliopsida; Malvales; Malvaceae. The record is from RNAcentral.
AGAAAAGUGACAUGCUUCAUUAAACCGUGUGUUCAAUAAAUCGAUAGCCCAAAGGCUAAGAGACGUGGUCAAAUUGAGGGCCUCCUUGUGUUGUUCAUGAAACCAAUGCUAGAACAUGUCUCUAAUGCACUCGAUCAAAAUGGUGAUUGACAUUUUUCUUACUUGAUUCAGACACGAGUUAAUACACUCCGCAAUGUUGCAUGUCAUGAGUUUAUAGCGCUUUACAAGUGACCGUGCAUGUGCCCAUUUCUCAAGGCAUAAUAUCAUAAAAUGGUGGUAAGCAUCCUUGCAAAUCUAUUUCAGUUGAUUCAUAUGUUUGUUGAAAUCGGCUACCCUGUAGCAAUUGACUGCAAGUGUGAAAAUCAUUGUAAUGUCUUCGCGCUUGAACUUAUUUUUUACAUUUUUUCUCCAAGUGGUAAUUGCAUAGACUGUGGUGCUCAUUGUGGUACACUUUUGCAAUUGCAUUCUUAAUGCCACGAUGCUGAUAAAAAAUAAACAUUGUAUUUUUAAGACAAUCAAUCACAUGACGCAAUGGGGUAAGAAACCAUGACCACGACUCUUGUUCUCAAUGUGGCCAACGCUGAAUGCAACCAAAUAUAUUUGCUCAUUUGAGGCUUUACAGAUAGUAACAAACAGAAUACCUUGAAUCUGCCUUUCCGAUGUGUGACAUCGAUAGCAACUAUAGGUCGCAUUACAGCCCUGAACCCCUAGACACACGCCUUGUAUGCCUAAAAAUAAUAUUUGAAUUGUUGUGCUUGAUUGGUGGCCACAAUUGUGACUAUAUUGGGAUUUUCACAUUUCAACAUAUAGAAAUACGAGGGUAGGAAUUAAAAUGACUCCUCCAAUGGACUGAAAACAAGACUCUUUCCAUACUCAUUUGCUUGCCAAGCCUUACCAUACAAGCAUUGUAAUCUCCACUUGCGAUUCAUCUCUUUCAUUUUUUCCUUAGGUCUCUAUGGUGUUACAUUAUUUCCUUACAGCUUGGAGGACAUAAACUCACCAAUUAACAUUGUGCUCACUGUUCAGUACCCACCUUGCAAACUAUUAACAAUAUACAUGUGUACCUUGUGGUACGUGCGAGCUUGUCAAUAAUCUCUGUUAAGCAACUUUCUUGCACGCAUAAUGAACUUGCAUGCCUUGUCUUUACAAGCAACCUUAAAACGAACGUGACAUGACUUUUCAACUUUAAUCUCGAAAUGCUUUUUUAAUGCUUACAUGUUUAAAGCUAGUUUCAAUUUGACCUUGGAAGGAAACAUUUUUCCUUGGUAUGAGUGGUCAUCGCUUGAUUUGGAUCGCUUAAUCUGGAUUCCUCGAUGGCAAUUGUUUGGAAGGAGAUCACAUCUACACCUGAAAUAAUCCAUUGACGAGAUAUCCCAACACUUACCCUUUUUAGAUCACUAUCAUCAGGAAAACAAAUUCUGUUGUCACCAAUGAUGGGGUUAUUGUAAAUAGGGUCAUCACACUAAACAUCUUCUAAAACAACAGCAGUGGCAUGCUCGAUACUACCAUCCAUAUGAUUGUAAUCCGAAAUGUCAUUGUCAUCACCCUUGUCCUCCUCUAAACAAUCAUCAUGCCAGCCAACAUAAUCAUCAUCAUUCCAAUCAGCAAUGUCAUCCUCUACAUAGUCAUCGUGCAUCUAAUCAGAAGCAUCGUCAUCACUCACAACCGUUGCAGUGUCGUUUGAGAAAGGUAAUGGAUCCACUACAAUUUUGGGCUUCAGUUGCAUUUGUUGGCAAGAAUGAAGUAUUUGGUUCGAUGCACAUUCUGAUCAAAAUUGUGCAGACAGCAUUUGGAAACACCUCGUGUAUGUAUCGGGCUACUCAAACUCAUGUGCAUACGUCGAUGGUGAUUGUUAUUGUUGUCAAUUAGGGACUGUGCGGUAUGGUAUGUCUGAAGUAGUAUAAAUUUGAUUUCGGUGAUUACUAUGUUGCAUAGCUUGUUCAUGUUGUAUAACAUUUGUAUGUUGUUCCUUAAUUGUCAUAAACACUACAACUCCUCUCUCAUCUCCUAAAAUACUUGUUUAAUCUUCAUCAUCCCUAAUAACUAGGUGCGAAACCCCUGCGACAUGACUGAGCAAUGCAUGUAGAUUGAUUUUAUGAUUUUUUUGAGUUUACCUCGACAACAUCUUCAACUAGCUUCAUUAGGCUCGAAAACUACAAAUCACUCCCAACACCCCUCACUCGUGUCUCACAACUCCUGUUAGUGUCAUCGACCCAACAGCCACCAUAUGUAAUCAUAAGCUUCAAAUUUAGCACUUUAUUGAUAUUUAACAGUCACGUAAUGCCUAAAAACCAGACACACAAUGAUUAAGUCACGCAAUGCUUAAAAGGUAGUCUUGUAAUAUCUAAGUCACGCAAUACCUAAAAAUCAGUUAUGCAAUACUUCGGUCAUGCAAUACCUAAAACCAGUCAUGCAAUCCCUAAUAACCAAUCACGCAAUACCUACAACCAGUCACGCAAUGCCUAAGUUCUAGAGAUGCAAUGAUUAAGUCACGC